GACGAACGCUGGCGGCGUGCCUGACACAUGCAAGUCGGACGGUUCUUGUAUCUUCAAGCUUGCUUGCAGGUGCAAGGAUAGUGGCGGACGGGUGAGUAACGCGUGAACAUCUACCCAUUGGAGGGGGACAACCCGUCGAAAGGCGGGCUAAUACCGCGUAAGCCGCGAGGUGAGAGGCUGCCUAUUGGUGGCCGCCGAUGGAUGGGUUCGCGUCCUAUCAGCUGGUUGGUGGGGUAACGGCCUACCAAGGCGAAGACGGGUAGCCGGUCUGAGAGGAUGGCCGGCCACACUGGAACUGAGACACGGUCCAGACUCCUACGGGAGGCAGCAGUGGGGAAUAUUGGGCAAUGGGGGAGACCCUGACCCAGCGACGCCGCGUGAGGGAGUGAAGGUUUUCGGAUCGUUAAACCUACCUGUUGUACGGGAAGAAGGAUGUGACGGUACCGUACGAGAAAGCCCCGGCAAACUACGUGCAGCAGCCGCGGUAAUAUCACGUGUA
RNAcentral lists this ribosomal RNA (499 nucleotides) under uncultured bacterium. Its description in RNAcentral is "bacterial SSU rRNA". It matches the Rfam family "Bacterial small subunit ribosomal RNA", at positions 28 to 531 of the family's 1533-position model. The record is from RNAcentral.